RNAcentral lists this ribosomal RNA (502 nucleotides) under uncultured bacterium. RNAcentral describes it as "partial 16S ribosomal RNA". It matches the Rfam family "Bacterial small subunit ribosomal RNA", at positions 28 to 507 of the family's 1533-position model. The record is from RNAcentral.
GACGAACGCUGGCGGCGUGCCUAAUACAUGCAAGUCGAACGAACCGCGACUAGGUGCUUGCACUUGGUCAAGGUGAGUGGCGAACGGGUGAGUAACACGUGGGUAACCUACCUCAUAGUGGGGGAUAACAGUCGGAAACGACUGCUAAUACCGCAUAGGACAUGGGAUCACAUGAUUCUGUGAGGAAAGGUGGCGCAAGCUAUCGCUAAGAGAUGGACCCGCGGUGCAUUAGCUAGUUGGUAGGGUAACGGCCUACCAAGGCGAUGAUGCAUAGCCGACCUGAGAGGGUGAUCGGCCACAUUGGGACUGAGACACGUCCCAAACUCCUACGGGAGGCAGCAGUAGGGAAUCUUCCGCAAUGGACGCAAGUCUGACGGAGCAACGCCGCGUGAGUGAAGAAGGUCUUCGGAUCGUAAAGCUCUGUUGUUAGAGAAGAACAGCGCAUAGAGUAACUGUUAUGCGUGUGACGGUAUCUAACCAGAAAGCCACGGCUAACUACGUG